Molecule: non-coding RNA, 180 nt
Filed under: Amphritea sp.
Lineage: Bacteria; Pseudomonadati; Pseudomonadota; Gammaproteobacteria; Oceanospirillales; Oceanospirillaceae
Also listed under: 1 other name
Description: 6S RNA
Rfam family: 6S / SsrS RNA
About the family: E. coli 6S RNA was the first non coding RNA to be sequenced, but its function was unknown until recently. It consists of 184 nucleotides that fold into an extended hairpin structure with a large single-stranded internal bulge.
Source: RNAcentral
AGCUCCCUGAGGUUAUUGGUAGUCGGGUUUAGUCCCUUGAGCCGAUAAUCACACUUUUGGAAGUUUCCAGGUUAACUGAUGUGCAUGUCCGCCAGACGGAAAGCCUAAUGUUCUCCGGAGGCUGCCACCUUGAACCCUCGGGUUCAGGGCCGAUACCUGCGCCGCAACCUUGGGGAGUCU